Long non-coding RNA from Bufo gargarizans (Asiatic toad), 363 nucleotides. RefSeq lists it as uncharacterized. The transcript is spliced from 3 exons. The record is from RefSeq and is a predicted model, not a curated record. Lineage: Eukaryota; Metazoa; Chordata; Amphibia; Anura; Bufonidae.
AAGGAAGCAGAGGACGGCGCAGCAGACGACUGAAUAGCUUUUUUUGUUCCUACAAUAUAGAAACAUUUCAGUUAAUAUCUUCCACUGAACAGAAUUUUCCUGAUUGUCCCAUCAUGGAUAGGGACAGAGACAAGAUGGCAGAGAGGAUAUUAAAUCUCACCCUAGAGAUACUCUUUCAACUUACUGGAGAGGAUUACACAGUAGUGAAGAAGACCUCUAGUGAACGCUGUCAGUCCACUGUAUCUGAAGUAUGGGGAAGAACCCGGAGCCCAAUCAUGAGGCCUCCACCUCACCCCCUGAUACAUGAGGAGAUCAAUGAACAGAAGAUCCUAGAACUCACCCACAGAAUGAUUGAGCUGCUGA